This 459-nucleotide ribosomal RNA is filed under the name uncultured bacterium. RNAcentral describes it as "partial 16S ribosomal RNA". It matches the Rfam family "Bacterial small subunit ribosomal RNA", at positions 338 to 795 of the family's 1533-position model. The record is from RNAcentral.
CCUACGGGAGGCAGCAGUGAGGAAUAUUGGUCAAUGGGCGCGAGCCUGAACCAGCCAAGUCGCGUGAGGGAAGACGGUCCUAUGGAUUGUAAACCUCUUUUGUCGGGGAGCAAAAGACGCCACGCGUGGCGUUCCGAGAGUACCCGAAGAAAAAGCAUAGGCAAACUCCGUGCCAGCAGCGCCGGUAAUACGGAGGAGGCGAGCGUUGUCGGGAUUGAUUGGGUUUAAAGGGUGCGCAGGCGGAAGAUCAAGUCAGCGCUAAAAUUGAGGGGCUAAACCUGUUCGAGCUGUUGAAACUGGUCAUCUUGAGUGAGUGAGAGGUAUGCGGAAUGCGUGGUGUAGCGGUGAAAUGCAUAGAGAUCACGCAGAACUCCGAUUGCGAAGGCAGCAUACCGGCGCUCAACUGACGCUCAUGCACGAAAGUGUGGGUAUCGAACAGGAUUAGAUACCCCUGUAGUC